RNAcentral lists this ribosomal RNA (442 nucleotides) under uncultured bacterium. RNAcentral's name for it is "partial 16S ribosomal RNA". It matches the Rfam family "Bacterial small subunit ribosomal RNA", at positions 338 to 795 of the family's 1533-position model. The record is from RNAcentral.
CCUACGGGUGGCAGCAGUGGGGAAUAUUGCACAAUGGGCGCAAGCCUGAUGCAGCAACGCCGCGUGAGCGAUGAAGGCUUUCGGGUUGUAAACUUCUUUUGACAGGGAAGAGUAGAAGACGGUACCUGUCGAAUAAGCCACGGCUAACUACGUGCCAGCAGCCGCGGUAGUACUUAGGUGGCAAGCGUUGUCCGAAUUUACUGGGUGUAAAGGGCGUGUAGCCGGGUUGACAAGUCAGAUGUGAAAUCCUGCGGCUUAACCGGAGAACUGCAUUGGAAACUGUUGAUCUUGAGUACUGGAGAGGCAGAUGGAAUUCCUGGUGUAGCGGUGAAAUGCGCAGAUAUUAGGAGGAACACCAGUGGCGAAGGCGGUCUGCUGGACAGCAACUGACGGUGAGGAGCGAAAGCGUGGGGAGCGAACAGGAUUAGAUACCCGAGUAGUC